This is a long non-coding RNA of Gadus macrocephalus (Pacific cod), 290 nucleotides long. RefSeq lists it as uncharacterized. NCBI's taxonomy places the organism in Eukaryota, Metazoa, Chordata, Actinopteri, Gadiformes, Gadidae. The record is from RefSeq and is a predicted model, not a curated record. The transcript has 2 exons.
UACAGACGUUGGGAUUGAUUACACAGUUAACUUGGUUAUUUUGCUAUUUAAGCUGCUUUUGUUUGGUAGUGUAAAGCAAAACUAAUUCUAACAUUUGGUUUUGGUUUUGGGAGCCAGCAGCAUACUGCUCGAUUUAUUCUAUUGAGGGGGGAGAACGAUGAGCUGUUCACCGGGGUGAAAUACUCAGCAAGUGUGGCUUGGGGGACAAUUCUGGAGAAAAUAGGCCUGCAGGGGAAGGUGACUCCCCUGCAGGCAAAGAAAAAAUGGGACAAUUUAAAAAAAUAUAUAAA